RNAcentral lists this ribosomal RNA (253 nucleotides) under uncultured bacterium. RNAcentral describes it as "partial 16S ribosomal RNA". It matches the Rfam family "Bacterial small subunit ribosomal RNA", at positions 524 to 776 of the family's 1533-position model. The record is from RNAcentral.
UACGGGGGGGGCCAGCGUUGUUCGGAAUUACUGGGCGUAAAGGGCUCGUAGGCGGCCAACUAAGUCCGACGUGAAAUCCCAAGGCUUAACCUUGGAACUGCGUCGGAUACUGGAUGGCUUGAAUUCGGGAGAGGGAUGCAGAAUUCCAGGUGUAGCGGUGAAAUGCGUAGAUAUCUGGAGGAAUACCGGUGGCGAAGGCGGCAUCCUGGACCGACAUUGACGCUGAUGAGCGAAAGCUAGGGGAGCAAACAGG